RNAcentral lists this ribosomal RNA (253 nucleotides) under uncultured bacterium. Its description in RNAcentral is "partial 16S ribosomal RNA". It matches the Rfam family "Bacterial small subunit ribosomal RNA", at positions 524 to 776 of the family's 1533-position model. The record is from RNAcentral.
UACGUAGGCAGCGAGCGUUGUUCGGAAUUACUGGGCGUAAAGAGUGUGUAGGCGGUGUUCCCAGUCUGUUGUGAAAUCUCCCGGCUUAACUGGGAGGGUGCAGCGGAAACUAGAAUGCUAGAGGGUGGGAGAGGUAAGCGGAAUUCCUGGUGUAGCGGUGAAAUGCGUUGAUAUCAGGAGGAACACCCAUGGCGAAGGCAGCAAACUGGUCAUCAACUGACGCUGAGGCGCGAAAGCGUGGGUAGCAAACAGG